CCAUUCUGUACUACAAGCUAGCCUGAAA
This 28-nucleotide non-coding RNA is filed under the name Rattus norvegicus (Norway rat). The record is from RNAcentral. Lineage: Eukaryota; Metazoa; Chordata; Mammalia; Rodentia; Muridae.